UAUUUUUUAAAUUGGUAUUUAUUAAGUCAACGCUGCAGAGGGAUUUUAUACUGAAGUUUGUUAGGUUUUACAAAGCGCUUUUAUUCGUUUGGAGACACGGAGAGACAUUCCACCUGGUUCCUACUGUACAAGCCAACGGAGUGUAAAGAAAAGGGUGCUGUGUUAUCAGUGGGAUGGUAGACGGUUGGAGUAGAGUCUAGGUUGAAGGAGCAUGGUGAAGCACCAACCCCUGCAGGUUUAUGAGAGACAGCUCUGUUUGUCCUGUCUAACUGGGAUCUACGGCUGCCGGUGGAAACGCUACCAGCGCUCUCAUGAUGAUACCACUAAGUGGGAAUGUAUGUGGACCCUCGUUCUGUUUGGGACGUUUGCGCUGUUAUUGGUGUGGUUUUAUUUCUGGUGGGAAGCAAACAAUGACUACAGCGAAUUUAACUGGUAUUUGUAUAACCGAUCCGGGGAGUGGAGUGAUGGAACUGUUCCCAUACUCGCUGCUACAGCUGCAGGCUUCACCUAUAUUACAUUUUUAAUGAUUUUAGCUCUGUGUCACAUAGCAGUUGGACAGCAGCUGAACCUGCACUGGCUUCAUAAGAUUGGAGUGACCACAGCUCUACUGACCACUAUUAUCGGAGUGAUAUCAGUCAGUCAGAUAUGGGGCGAGGAAUGGGACAUCAUCUCCAUCUCUCUUCAAGCAACAGGACCAUUCCUGCACAUCGGUGCCCUGGCUGCAGUUACAGCUCUGGCGUGGCUGGUGGCUGGACAGGUGGCUCAAGCUGAGAAGACCAAAUUUCAGGUUAUGAUUCUGGUCAUCUACCUGGCUGUGCUGCUGAGCCUCUACCUGACCCCCCUGUCCAUCUCCUCACCCUGCAUCAUGGAGCGCCACAAUCUCCCAGCACGCCCUGCUGUAAUUGCCCAUCAUGGAGCUCCCAUGAUGGCUCCAGAGAACACACUGCUGUCCUUCCAGAGAGCUCUGAGGAUGAAUGUUAGUGGGCUGCAGGCUGAGAUGGCGAUCAGUGUAGAUGGAGAGCCCUUCCUGAUAAGAGAUCGCACACUGAGAAGAACCACUGAUGUGAGCAAAGUUUUUCCAGAGAGACAGUAUGAAGACGCCUCGUUUUUCAACUGGACUGAACUGCGCUCUCUUAAUGCUGGCCAGUGGUUUCUGAAGGAUGACCCAUUCUGGAUGGUACAGUUCAUGUCUGACCGGGAGCUCUGGUUAAUAGGAAAUCAGACGCUGUGCAGUCUGGAACAAAUGCUGCAGCUGGCCGCCAGCCACAAUCGCUCGGCUCUUUUUACAGUCCACAGACCUCCACCUGGGCACCCCCACCGCCUGAGCUGGGUCAACCUCACCCUGGCCACCGUGCUGCGCUCGGGUAUUCCUCAGCACCUGGUUGUGUGGAGCGUGGACUCAGACAGAGAGCUGGUAAAACAACGAGCGCCAGGUUUCCAGCAAAUCUCCACAAUGAAGCAGCCGUUAAGAAAUCUUCAUCAGCAGGGCAUCAGCAGACUUCUGCUACGCUACAACCACGUCUCUGCUCAGGAAGUUCGGACGUAUGCAGAUGGAAACGUGAGUGUGACUCUGUACACUGUGAAUAAGCCCUGGCUGUAUUCUGUACUGUGGUGUAGUGGGGUUCACUCUGUCUCCUCUGAAGCACCCCAGGUCCUUAAAAAGGUGCUGUCACCCCUCUGGCUUAUGAGUCCACAUGAAUACUGUUUGGUUUGGGUGGCCACAGAUCUCACCUCCUUUAUCCUGAUACUUGGAGUUUUUGUAUUUCAAAAGUGGAGGAUGAGUGGCAUGCGUAGCUACAACCCUGAGCAGAUCAUGCUAAGCGCUGCAGUCAGCAGAUCCAGCCGGGACGUCAACAUCAUGAAGGAAAAGCUCAUCUUUUCUGGUCAGCCGCAGUAGCAGUUUAACCCCGACUGUGACCCACUGUACCAUCCCACCUUCAUCCCAUUUCACCUACCCAUUCUUCCCCCUCGCUGUCUUUCACUGCCUGCUGCCAUCUCUGCAUCUUUCCAUCCACCGCUGACAUCCCUCACCUCCAAUCAUAGCUCUGGUCUGCAUAAUGGAGCUGUGCUGUGUAAUGCUCAUGAGGUAAGCGAUGGGGUCUGCAGUGAGGAAAAUGGGUAUGACUGCUACACCAAUUGAAACAUUCACUGAUCUUGCUGGAUCUCCACACCAACUGGGUGAAAGACAACGUACCACUGGCUGAAUUGCUUUUAUUUCUUUUUUCCCCUAUCUUGAAGUCCUGAAUGUACUGUGUUGCUAAAGGAAUGACUGCUGUGUAUAUUAUGUACAGAUUGUUUUGUAAUUUUCUGUGUAAUAACUCGAUGAAAUGAAUUUGUGUGUGGCCUCAGCCUUGUUUAGAGCUCGGGGUGGCUGGUACAUCCAUCAUUUACUUUACUCAUAUGCAUUCCUGUAAUCUAAUCCUGCAUCAUAAAGGACUCACUCUUCACCCAAGACAUGAACAGAAUGUGAGGAAUAUUUGUGUGUGUGUGUGUGUGGGCAUGAGAAAUCCACUGUAUUGCCAUUUGGCAGGGCUAAAAUGACUUCUAAAUGUUUACAGUGCCUAUAUGCUUCAUUCAUGUGAAUUAUAUAAAGUAUGUGAAUUUUCAUAGACACCUAUUUCCCUUUUCUGAGAAUAAAUUCAUUUUAACAGUCA
Trichomycterus rosablanca is the source of this 2654-nucleotide RNA transcript. It is a transcript of the gene named glycerophosphodiester phosphodiesterase domain containing 5b, with no coding region annotated. NCBI's taxonomy places the organism in Eukaryota, Metazoa, Chordata, Actinopteri, Siluriformes, Trichomycteridae. The record is from RefSeq and is a predicted model, not a curated record. The transcript has 17 exons.